Molecule: transfer RNA, 72 nt
Organism: Camelus ferus (Wild Bactrian camel)
Lineage: Eukaryota; Metazoa; Chordata; Mammalia; Artiodactyla; Camelidae
Rfam family: tRNA
About the family: Transfer RNA (tRNA) molecules are approximately 80 nucleotides in length.
Source: Rfam
GAGGGUAUAGCUCAGUGGUAGAGUGUGUGCUUAGCAUGCACAAAGUCCUGGGAUCAAACCCCAGUACCUCUG